RNAcentral lists this ribosomal RNA (549 nucleotides) under Triticum aestivum (bread wheat). Its description in RNAcentral is "partial small subunit ribosomal RNA". Lineage: Eukaryota; Viridiplantae; Streptophyta; Magnoliopsida; Poales; Poaceae. The record is from RNAcentral.
AGAGACCAAGGGGGGUUGGGUGUUACUAAUCUGGAUAUCAAGAAUAUUAGUCUUUUGUGUAAAUGGCUCUGGAGACUUGAGAAUGAAGAUGGGGAUUGGAAGGAGUCUCAUUUCUGGAAUGGUAUCAUGAGUGUUGAAGAUAUCUUUUACAAUUGUUGUCAGAGAAUUGUUGGAGAUGGGCGUAAAACUAGAUUUUGGGAAGAUGCUUGGAUCCACAACAAGCCUCUCUAUCAACUUUUUCCUCGCUCGUACAAACUUACUUUCCAUCAAAACAUUACGGUUGCUAAAGCAUUUGAACAAGAUUUUAACUGCAUUAGAUUUAGGAGAUGUUUAUAUGGGGAGACAUUGGAUAUGUGGAAUAAAGUUCUGAAUAUGUGCAGUCAGGUUGUUCUGAGUGAGGAACCUGACAAAGUCAAAUGGCUUUUGACCAGCUCUGGUUAGUUCUCUGUUAAAUCUCUUUAUCAAUAUAUUAUUGCUAGGAGAGUAGUGUUCCCUUUUAAGUUUCUGUGGAAACUGAAGGUACCUUUGAAAAGGCUUUUAUAUGAUUAG